AUUGCACGCUAGCGGGAUGCUUUCCACAUGCAAGUCGAACGCGUGGCGGACGGGUGAGUAAUAUAUCGGAACGUGCCCAGUAGAGGGGGAUAACUACUCGAAAGAGUGGCUAAUAACGCAUACUAUUGGAGCGGCCGAUAUCGGAUUAGCUAGUUGGUGGGGUAAAGUCGCACAAAGGCCACGUUCCGUAGUUGGUUUGAGAGGACGACCAGCCACAGUGUGAAUGAGACACGGCCCAGACUCCUACGGGAGGCAGCAGUGGGGGAUUUUGGACAAUGGGGGAAACCCUGAUCCAGCCAUCCCGCGUGUAUGAGAAGGCCUUCGGGUUGUAAAGUACUUUUGGCAGAGAAGCGGUAUCUGCAGAAUAAGCACCGGCGAAAUACGUGCCAGCAGCCGCGGUAAUAC
This 405-nucleotide ribosomal RNA is filed under the name uncultured bacterium. Its description in RNAcentral is "partial 16S ribosomal RNA". It matches the Rfam family "Bacterial small subunit ribosomal RNA", at positions 30 to 526 of the family's 1533-position model. The record is from RNAcentral.